This 70-nucleotide transfer RNA is filed under the name Enteroctopus dofleini (giant Pacific octopus). RNAcentral's name for it is "tRNA-Ala". Lineage: Eukaryota; Metazoa; Mollusca; Cephalopoda; Octopoda; Octopodidae. The record is from RNAcentral. RNAcentral also lists the same sequence under 1 other name.
GGUAUUAUAUUUUAUAAAGAAAAUUUAACUUGCAAUUAAAAAGAAAUAGAAUUUUAUCUAUUUAAUACCA